This 30-nucleotide non-coding RNA is filed under the name Rattus norvegicus (Norway rat). The record is from RNAcentral. Lineage: Eukaryota; Metazoa; Chordata; Mammalia; Rodentia; Muridae.
UCUGAAAUGGAUGCUGGAUUGCAGAAAGGA